UCGAAAAAAAGAAUAUCCUCUCAUAUAAUUUCCGUAAUAUGGUCGGAAAGUAUCUACCAGAUAACCGUAAAUUGUCUGACUAUGAGUGAAAUUUGUCUAAGU
RNAcentral lists this non-coding RNA (102 nucleotides) under Paramaledivibacter caminithermalis. Its description in RNAcentral is "Clostridium caminithermale Guanine sequence". It matches the Rfam family "Purine riboswitch aptamer". From Rfam's summary of the family: Riboswitches are metabolite binding domains within certain messenger RNAs that serve as precision sensors for their corresponding targets. Allosteric rearrangement of mRNA structure is mediated by ligand binding, and this results in modulation of gene expression. Lineage: Bacteria; Bacillati; Bacillota; Clostridia; Peptostreptococcales; Caminicellaceae. The record is from RNAcentral. RNAcentral also lists the same sequence under 1 other name.